RNAcentral lists this ribosomal RNA (502 nucleotides) under uncultured bacterium. Its description in RNAcentral is "partial 16S ribosomal RNA". It matches the Rfam family "Bacterial small subunit ribosomal RNA", at positions 30 to 523 of the family's 1533-position model. The record is from RNAcentral.
AUUGAACGCUGGCGGCAUGCCUUACACAUGCAAGUCGAACGGCAGCACGGGAGCUUGCUCCUGGUGGCGAGUGGCGAACGGGUGAGUAAUACAUCGGAACGUACCCAGGAGUGGGGGAUAACGUAGCGAAAGUUACGCUAAUACCGCAUAUUCUGUGAGCAGGAAAGCGGGGGAUCGCAAGACCUCGCGCUCUUGGAGCGGCCGAUGUCGGAUUAGCUAGUUGGUGAGGUAAAAGCUCACCAAGGCGACGAUCCGUAGCAGGUCUGAGAGGAUGGUCUGCCACACUGGGACUGAGACACGGCCCAGACUCCUACGGGAGGCGGCAGUGGGGAAUUUUGGACAAUGGGGGCAACCCUGAUCCAGCCAUGCCGCGUGAGUGAAGAAGGCCUUCGGGUUGUAAAGCUCUUUCGGCGGGGAAGAAAUGGCAACGGCUAAUAUCCGUUGUUGAUGACGGUACCCGCAUAAGAAGCACCGGCUAACUACGUGCCAGCCGCCGCGGUAA